GUAAUAUGGUGGAGGAGGUGAAGGAGAGGAAGGGGGUGGUGACUUGUGGUAGUAGACUGGUGGUUGGGGUGAUGGAGAAGGUAGUGGUGGGGAUUUGUAGAGGUAUGGUGGAAGAGGAGAUGGAGAUGGAGGAGGUGAGGACUUGUAAUAGGAUGGAGAAGGUGGUGGUGGUGAUUUGUAGUAGUAAGGAGGAGGUGGGGAAGGAGAUGGUAGAGGUGGGGACUUAUAGUAAUAAGGAGGUUGAGGAGAUGGUGAUGGAGGAGGAGGUAAUUUAUAGUCGUAGUGAGGAGGGGGUGAUGGUGAAGGUAGUGGUGGUGACUUGUAGUAAUACCACGGAGGAAGAGAUGGAGAUGGAGCCAGAGGUGACAGCGGUGGUAGUGAUUUGUAGUAAUAAGGAGGCAGUGAUGAUGGAAAAGGUGGGAGCGGUGGCAGUGAUUUAUGGUAAUAAGGAGGUAGUGAUGAUGGAAAAGGUGGGAGCGGUGGCCGUGAUUUAUAGUAAUAAGGAGGUAGUGAUGAUGGAAAAGGUGGGGAUGCAAAAGUAUUAGGAUUGUAAGGCUCGUCUUCAGCAGCUACAUUAGCGGCAAUCAAGCACAAAGCCAAGACACAAAUCAGGUGAGGCCAAAAAUUGGCCAUUUCCAGAACACGAGAAAAUUUCACUCCUACAACUCAAGAACUUCUAUUUCUUAGAACAGAAGGGAUUUUGUGAAUGAUGCUUCAAGGUAGAGGCUCAGAGUUUAUAUAGUCAUCCUUUCCAUAAUUCUUUCAUUUGUUUAAUUAGUAGUUGUUGAAGCCUCCAAUCUUUAACAAGUCUACAACUAAAUGGUAUUCCCCUAUUUUCUAUGUGUUACCUGCACAUCUGUCCAUGAAAAGUCAAGAAGAUUAGUAAACAUAUAUAUACAAGAGUGCAUUUCAGUUUUGGUUGUUGGGAGCCUAGAAGCUUCCCCAUAUAUUAUGUCAAAUGUGACUGCCAUCUUUAAGAAUUUACCAUGGAAAACUCAACAUAAAAUAUUACUAUGAAGCAUGUCUACCAAGCAAAAAGCUAGGGCUAUUAGAUCUCCUUCUACCAUAACUUCCUGUUUUUCGAAAAUUUGUCAUACAUUGAAACCUUUUUCAAAACAACAAAAAGAUUUAAUAUUGCAAAUAAUUUACGGGCAUUAAUUAGGAAGGUAAUGCACUAAUAAACCUAAAAUCAAUGCCAAUUUUUCUAGAAAGGCAUCGUUGUCUUUCAAUAACUUCUUAAGCUAGCUAUUUAAUAUUAUAGGACGACUAGGUCUAUGAAUGAGAUCAUCAUAUGCAUUUUCAAUAACAAGUAAUGGACCCUUGUUUUUCCAUUGGAUUUGAGUAACGAUGAAAGUUCUUUAGGAAAAGGAAAGAAACAUAAUUAAUCUCUUAAAUUUCUUCUUCAUGCAUGUUGCUAGAUAAAGGAUUGAUGGGGCAAGCAACAAAGGGAGAUUAUUUAAAGAGAUUUUGUAAUAACUACUUUGGAAUUGGGAGUUGUAGAAAGUGGAAGAGAAAAUGUUCAAGGAAUAGUUCAUUCCUCAAAUGUUCAUCCAUUCCUUUGUAUAGGGUUUUGCCUUUAAAUAUCAACAAAACUGCUCAAGGUGUAUUUGAUAGUAAUUUUAGAAAGUAUUUUUAACCUUUAUAAUACUUAAAAAAAAAAAAAAUUGUUAAGUGUCAAAAAUAUUAAAAACACAUCUUAAAAUCACUACUAAACGGACUCUUAAAAGUUCAUAUGAAAUUAAUCAAAUUAGAUAAGGACAGGUUCUAACCUGUGGACAUAUAUGUAGAACUAAGGUCUUAGAACCGGUGAUGAUGAGAUUGCAAUCACAACUCACAACCAAAUAUCAUACAUACUUGAAAGAAACAAAUUGGAAGGAAAUCUAUUUCAAUAUGAAUUAUAAAGUGUUUUUGUGGUUAAUAUAAAAAAUAAUGACACUACAUGCAACUUACAUAUGUACUUGCUUUAUAUGCUAACGACAUUAUUUAUAUGCUAGAUAUUAACUAGACACCAUCAAUCAAGUCUAUAUAUAUAUAUAUAUUAUUAUUUAUAUCUUUAUACUUUGAUCUCAUUUGUUUAUUUCUUCGUUCAACAACACAAAUCUCAUCAUGCAUGUUUAAUGAUCCGGAUUUAGAGCUCAAUAGAUAUCACUAGGGUAGCUUAGGAUUUUCUUACCUAAAAUUACUAUAAGAAGUACUCAAGGAAAAAGAAAAUGAAUGAUCUAAAAGUGGAUCCCUUGCAACACUUCAAGGAGUCGAGAUUUGUACUUGGUUGGGCUUGGAAUUCUAAUAAUCCUAGUUGGCUGGGCACUUGGCUUUCUAAUAAUUCUAGUUGUCGCAUUAACGGAAACUGUUUGUAACUCAACAGUAUGGACAAUUGAAAUGUUUAUGGAGUAUUGUUAAUCAAAGCUGCCAUGGGAAAAUCUUUUGUUUGAAGCCCUUCACUGGAAUAUUCAAUAAAUAUAGCUAGCGCCACUUUCCCUCAGAAAUAAUUCCCCCCAAUACCUUAAAUGGUAUGCUUAAUUUCUUAUUCACUUUUACACACCUAUUCAUCUUAAUUACCAAAUGCACCCACUUUCUGUUUUUUUUUUCUUUUAACUCAUUAAUGUUUUAAAAAAAAUUGGUAUUAAUCAAAUAUUAAUUUUAAAAUUUUUAAUUAUUUUAAAAAAUUAUCAUAUCGGUUAAGAAAUUUAAUGCAUUAGCUCUCACUUGAUUUGAAAUAUGUUUGUCUAAUGAUAGAACUUGAAAAUUAUAUAGUUACACGCACAUAAAAAAUUGGCCAAGCCAUUGUAGACCGGUUUUGUUCCAACAAAUUCUAGUAUUAAUUGGCUCGAAUCAAGUUCUAAAUGAUUUUUAAAAUUUAUUAAACUUAUUAAGGAAUCCAAUGCAUCAAAUUGGAUUUAGAAGAUGACACAUCUCAAAGCAAAACAAUAGGGAAAGGUAUAAUAAAUCACAAAUUCAAUGUUAUAAAUAUCAAAAAUUAAACUGGAAUAAUCUCAAAUGACAAAAAUUAAGAAGAUUCUAUAGAUAAGGAAAUAAAAGCAAUAACAAAACAUAAUACAUUGAAACUAAAAUCCUUUCCAAAAGAGAAAAAGGCAAUUGGAGGAAAAUGGGUAAACAAUGAGUCAAAUCCUAUUUUUUGAAAACAACCAAAGGUUUAUAAAAUAAUAAUAAAUAAAUAAAUAAAAUGAAAUAAAAUAAAAUAAAUAAGAUCUCCUUUAAGACUAAAUGAUUCCAUUGAAUUGAGUAUGAUUGUGUGUGUGAUAGCAUCAACAGUACUAAGAAUAUCAAUGACCUUUUGGCAACCAACCUUCAAAAUAUAAAGGGGAAAGAUGUGCAAAGAAGAAUGUAAAAGGAGAAAUAUUAGAGAGACACAAAGUAAGAUUAGUGGUUAAGGGUUACAAGCAUCAACUUGUAAACAACAAAUUAGCAAUUGCACUAUCAAAAAAUCCAAUUUUAUAUGUUUGAAACAAGAUAUCAAUACAAAAUAUCAUUUUAUUAGAGAGUGCAUAAUGAAGAAGAAAGUAUAAUUAAAUUUGCAAAAUCUCAAGAUUAAAUUGCAAAUAUUUUUACCAAACCUCUCAAGUUUAAAAAUUUUAGAAAGUUAAGUAUAUUACUUGGAGUUACAAAUAAAGUUUAAGGGGGAUAUUGGAAAGUUAAACUUGAUUUAGAAAGUUUCCAAAACUUAGAACUAGAUUUAGUCUCCACAAUUCAAAGAUAAUAUUUUAUUUUCAAUGGUUGUUUAUAUUUGAGUAGUCAAGUCCUAGAAGGUUAAUUUCUAUAUUUUGUUAUUAGAAUUUUCUAUUUUGUUAAGUGUAAAUAUCUAUAAAUAAGAUUUUAUGUAAUAUUUGAAUAAGAAAGUGUGAAGAUGAAUCUCACCUAUGGAUAACAGCUAGAGGGGGCUAAAUAGAUGUUUUUUAAAACAACUUAAGAUGGUAUCUCACAAAUGCUUACAAAUCCCUUAUUUUUCUCAAAUGUUUUGGUUUGUUUUUUUUUAUCUUAUUAAAAAAAAAACAAAUCAUAAGUAAUAAUGGAUGCAUCAACACUCUCUCAUUAAGUGAGUCAAUGCAAAUCACAUACAAAUGAAUCAACACUCCUCAACUAUAAUGUAUAAGACAUUAUAUGCAUCGACACAAAUCCCAUUUUCGCAUGUCCCAUGACAUUAAUAUCAAAAACUGAAAUAUACCAUAUUCUAUCAAAGCUUCAAUGGUUUAAUUUAAGCUCAUAUCUCAAUUAAACAACAAAAUAAUUCAAUAGAAAUAUCAUAAGCUAAUGAAAAACUAAUUAAAAGAUGAGGUAGAAUAGACAUAUAAGGGAAGCAGCCUAAAAUCAUGCCUAUCAUUCAAUUCUAUAUUCUGUCAUAUAGCUGUAUAUUGUAACAGUAGCAUAGAUUUAGCCUUACCGUUUCUAAAUUUGAAUCAUAUAGUUGUAUAUUGUAACGGUAGCAUCCUUAUCGUGUAUAUGUUUCUUAAACUAGCUUCUUAAUCACUUUAUAUAAUAGAGUUUCCAUCAAUAAAAUGAGUUGGAAAUUCUUCAUUGAAACUACGACAAUAUUUUUUUCUUUAUAUGGUAUCAGAGCACUGAUCUCAAAUGAGCCAUCGAUCCAAGUUAUCACCAUGCCUUCCUCCUCUGAUCAAACUCCAAACUUUAAUCUCAAUACUCAACUUCCAUCUGCAGUCGAUAAACCCCUAAUUGCUCUCAAUAUCACAACCCAAAUCAAUGAAAAAUUAACUCCCUCCACAUUUUCUCAAUGGUGUGCUCAAUUUGAAGCACUCAUUAUUGGUUACGAUUUACUCAACUAUGUUGAAGGCACCAUUCGGUGCCCUUCCUCUACUGCUACUCCUACUGAUGAGUUGCACAAAACCCAUUGGGUCCGAUAGGAUAAACUUAUCUUGAGUGCUAUUCUAGCCUCCACAUCUUCUUCAAUCACACCACUCAUUGCUACGUCAAAGACCUCCCAUGAAGCUUGGAAAAAAUUAAAACCUCUAUAUGCUACCCGAUCAAGAACACAUGCUAUGCAAUUAAAGGAGGAACUCACCUUAAUCCAGCGAGGAGAUCGGUCGAUUAUAGAAUGCAUCCAUCCUCUAAAGUCCUUGGCCAAUGAAAUAACCAUUAUUGAUCAUUCAAUUUCGGAUGAUGACCUAACCCUUUGUGUGUUGAAUGGCUUAGGUCUAGAUUUUCGAGAGAUUGUUGUGCAUAUCUGAGCUCGAGAAUCAUCACUGGCUUUUGAGGAGUUGCAUGAUCUUUUGGUUGGACACGAGGCAUACUUAUGACGCAUAGGAGUUGCGAUGCAGAACCUAGUUGCUUCUGCAAAUUUCAUAAAGAUGACGAAGUAGUCUCCACAAUGAGGAAGUCACCCGUGGUCUUUCAAGCAAACUAGCUUUCACCAUGAGCCUCGAGGUUCUCAACAAAGCUGCAACUCAAAUGGAGCCCAACGUGAUGGAUGUCGCUCCAACAAUAACUCUAGGCGACCCAACAACUCCAAUUGGUGUUACCAGCCCAAAUGUCAAAUUUAUGACCAAUUGGGCCACACUGCAAAGUUCUGUCCUCAACUCCAUUCAUAGAAUGCCUCCAUCAAUUGUGCUGCAAUCUCUACUGGCAAGGACAAAAAUUGGUUACUUGAUUCGACUAUUUCUCAUAAUAUCACGGGUGAUCUUUCCAACUUAUCUAUUCACUCCGAAUAUGAUGGAAUUGACAAAGUAAUUCUCAGUAAUGGUUCAAGUUUGGUUGUCUCACACAUCGGUUUUUUGGAUUUACACUCCCCUCAUCGAAAUUUUACAUUGCAUGAUACUCUUUGUGUUCCAAAUCUUUGCAGAAAUUUAAUUUCCGUUCAUCAUCUCACCAAACAAAACAAUGUCUUGGUUGAAUUUCACCAUUUUCAUUUUCUUGUGAAGAACAAGAUCACGGGGGCAAUCCUACUAAGAAGAGCAUGUAACAAUGGCAUCUACACUUUUCCGACAUCAAUGGUGGCAUAAAAAAAUAUUGCUAAUGUGCAUGAACACAGAUGGAUGGCACAAGCGUCUUGGGAUUCCUUCUACUAAAAUUGCCCAUCAUCUUGUCAAUAAAUUUUCUCUUCCUAUGUCCUUGAACAAAAAGUUUAUCUUCAUUAUGUUCUUCAUGUUCUAUUAAUAAAGCACAUCAACAACCACUUUGUGUCACUAGUCUCCAAAGUCAUGAGCCACUUGACCUUAUUUACACGGAUGUGUGGGGUCCCGCUAGUUAUACUGGAAUUGAUGGAUCACGAUAUUACCUUAUUUUUGUUGAUCAUUAUACAAAAUAUAUAUGAUUUUAUCCAAUGGUCACAAAAUCCAAUGUUUCUAAUAUUUUCCCGCAUUUCAAAAAGUUUGUUGAAACUUGUUUUUAAAAAUCUAUUAAAACACUUUACUUCAAAAAUGGUGGUGAGUUUAUCGCUUUAAAAUCUUAUUUAUUACUUCAUGGCAUAACUCACUACACCACUGCUCCACACACUCAACAACAAAAUGGUGUCUUUGAACGUUAUCACUGUCAUCUCGUUGAAACGAACCUUACACUUCUUCAUGAUGCAAAUCUUGCUUUCUCAUAUUGGCCCUAUGCUUUUCAAACAACUUCUUAUCUCAUAAAUAAACAACCAAUGCCUUUCCUCCAAGAAAAAAAUACCUUUUGAAGCCCUUUUUGGUCAACCACCCAAUUACUUGAAAUUAAAAAAAUUUGGGUGCAUUUGUUAGCCCCUCACACGAGCCUAUAAUUCAAAUAAAAUGCAGCCCAAAUCCAAAGUCUGCAUUUUUCUCGGUUAUUCACCAACCCAAAACGCAUACAAGUGUUUUGAACCUCAAACAAAAAAUUCUUUCUCUCACGGCAUGUGUUAUUUGAUGAAAAUCUAACAUAUUCCAGUCUAUCCUAAACUGCGUCUUCCAUAACAACCCAACCCACUCGAGAAUCUCACAUUUUUUUUCAUUUUUUCUUCUUCAAUUCUCAGCAGGCUGUCGUGUCUCCAUCACAGUUGUCCGGUACACCUAUCUCAUCGUUGUCUCCGGAAGGUCCGCCUACCAUUGUUGCGUCUUCCUUAGGUGAUUUCGGACCCUCUGCUCCUUUCUUUCAUGAUUGCUUGCAAACCCUAGAUCACAACACCACCCACUUGAAUUUUCCUUUACAUGACACUCAGACUGGUCCUUCUUUAAAUUUGCAAUCACGCUCUCAUGAUCAGCAUCUAGGUCUAGCUAAUACUUCCAAUUUUCCAACCCCUACCGAAACCAAUAAUUUUCCCCAACGCACUCAUACCAUGACCAUAAGAUCAAUGUACCAAAUCUUCAAACCCAAACAACUCCACACUGUGUCAAAAUAUCCUCUCUCCUCGACCAUUGAACCAACCAAUGUGAGCCAAGCCAUUUCUCAACCUCAUUGGCGUGAGGUCAUGUCUAAUGAGCUUACUGCUCUAAUGAAACAUAGGACUUGGGACAUAGUUUUACCACCUUCAAACUGUAAACCCGUGGGUUGUAAAUGGGUAUUUUGAGUAAAAAGAAAAGCUGAUGGGUCAGUGGACAGGUUCAAAGUCUGUCUAGUUGCUAAGGGCUAUAAUCAACGUCUUGGUGUUGAUUACAAAGACACUUUUAGUCUUGUCAUCAAACCAACAACUAUUAGAUUUGUCCUAUCUAUUGUAGUCAUGAAUGGAUGGGUUUUGAGGCAACUGAAUAUCAACAAUGCUUUUCUAAAUGGUGAAUUAUCUGAGACUGUGUUUAUGGCAUAACCCCCAGGGUUCAAAGAUUUGUCCAAACCUAAUCAUGUUUGCAAGUUAAAAAAAUGCCAUCUAUGGGCUUAAAUAAGCCCCGCGAGCUUGGUACACAAUGCUAAAAAAUGCCAUUCUUCAGUUGGGUUUUCAUAAUUCCAAAGUGGAUUCCUCUCUCUUCAUUUACAACCAUGGUUCCAAUCUUUAUUAUUUCUACAGGGAAUAAUUUCAUACUUAUGGCCACUAUUAUGAAGCAGCUGGGUGACAUGUUUUCUCUCAAAGAUAUGGGUUCUCUUCAUUUUUUCUUAGGAAUUGAAGUAAUUCCUACUCGGGCAGGAUUAUUCCUCUCACAACAUAAAUAUGUUCAUGAACUUUUAGCCCACACCAGUAUGAGUAGUGCAAAAGAUGUCUCCAUACCUCUCUCUACCACUCAAUCUCUUCAACUGGUUGAUGGCAUUGUUGCUGUGGACAACUCAGAGUUCUGUAAAAUCAUUGGCAGCCUUCAAUACCUUUCUUUGACGCAUCCAGAUAUCUCAUUUGCAGUAAAAAAAACUCUCGCAAUUUAUGCACAAGCCGACUACAAAUCACUGGACAGAAACCAAACGACUCAUUCGAUACUUAAAACAAACCAUUUUUUUAUGGUAUUCAAAUCAACAAAGCUGGAACUCCAGUAUUAAGAACAUACUCAGAUGUAGAUUGGGCUGGAAAUGUGGACGACUGCACGUCCACCUCUGCUUCUAUCAAUUUUUUGGGAUCUAACCAAAUUUCUUGGAGCUCAAAGAAACAAAGAGCAGUUGCAAGAUCCUCAAUAGAAGUUGAAUACCGAGACUAGCAACUGCGGCUUCCGAGACAAUGUGGAUGUCUACUCUCUUCAAAGAACUAGCAUUUCCAAUCAAAGAAUCUCCCCAAUUGUUAUGUGACAACCUUGGAGCCACACAUCUCAGUUUUAACUCGGUUAAUCAUUCACGCAUGAAACACAUUCAAAUUGACCUUCACUUUGUGCGUGACUUAGUGCAAAAAGGAAGCAUCCAAGUCAGCCAUGUACAUACUCAAGACCAAUUAGCUUAUCUGUUAGCAAAGUCGUUGUCCAAACAACGCACAGAAUUGUUACGCAACAACAUUGUCCUUACCGAUGGAAGCCCUAUCUUGCAGGGGUGUAUAAGGGAAACAUCCUAAAAUCAUGCCUAUCAUUCAAUUCUAUAUUCUGUCAUAUAGUUGUAUAUUGUAACAGUAGCAUCCUUACCGUGUAUAAGUUUCCUAAACUAGCUUCUCAAUCACUCUAUAUAACAGAGUUUCUAUCAAUAAAAUGAGUGGGAAAUUCUUCAUUGAAACUACGACAAUAUUUGUUUCUCUAUAAGAGAAACGGUGACACCAAUAUUUUAGCAUGGAAAACCUAAAAAAAGGAGAAAAAACCAUAGACCUCUAGCGAUCAAAUCAUUCACCAUGAAGAAAAUUAACUAAGUACAAGGAUUUACCUAACCCAAACUUUCAAUCCUCUCUUGGUCCACUUGCCUAAAAUCUUCAGACUUUAGCAACCCACUUUCUUCUUCUAGAACACACUUCAAAUCCAUACUAAGUUUGAUCUUGACCUCUUCUUAAAUCCACAUAAGAAGAUAUUUGAGUUUUUACCCCAAAUAAGAUGAAUAUAAGCGUAAAGAUGAAACUCACACUGAAUCAACCUAUUUUGAAAGAAAUUUUUUCACUUAAAAAUGAAUUUCAACUCAAACCCAUAAAAUUUUCAUUCAAACCAAACACCUCAAAAACAGGUAAAAGAAUAUGAAGCUCAAGAGAGGCCACCUAUCUCUUUCAGCCCGCCCUUCCUCUUAUAGAAAUAGAGCUUAAAUAUUAGGGUUUUAAAACCCAUUAAACGGAUGAGAUUUGUUUGGAAAAUAAUGAAGAUUCAUAGUGUGAUCGAAACCUGAUCACAAGACUGAAAAAAUCUGGGUUCAACAAAAACUGUUACCCUUCAGUUUUAUGUUGUGGUUGAGUACUACUCGAUAAUAGUGAGUGAUAUCAUUUAUGGAGGACCAUCACAUGAUGGUCCAAAUGAGAAGUAGAUAUGAUACUAAAAAUUGAUGUAAGGUAAUGUCCCGUCCCAAGACCCACUCCAAGGGCAUGAAGGUCAUUUCACACCUCAAACCCAAAGGCUUAAAGUGUAACCUGACCCAAACAAUUAUCUUAUAACUGGAAGUUACCAAUUACCAAAUACCUGUUUAGAGUAGCAAAAUAAAAUUCUAAAAUCUUCAAAACUUAACUUUAAAACUAAGCAUCCAUCAACCAAAAUCCAUUUUCCAAAUAAAUUGCAAACUCAAACAAUUCAAGUGCUAACAAAAAUUUUCAUAAUCUCCAAAUCUCAACUUCAAACUAUCAAAAAAAAUUUAAAAGUUCAAUAUCUAAAUAGCUUCCAAAAACCAAAUAAUCCAAAUGAACAUAAACUUAUAAGCUAACAAUGUCCAAAAAUAACAUCCUAAGCAAAAUCCUAAUGAUGACCAUUCCCCGACCUAGCCAUCACUCAUCGCCCGAACUAAGUGUACCUGAAAAAUUAUCAACAAAAGAGAAUGAGCUCAAAGCCCAAUAAGGAACAUUAUUAUAGUCCAUGGAUCAAAUAUUUCAAGUUCACUUGUAAAAUAGGAGAUAUUAUAACUAAUUAUUUUCAUAAACCUUUGAGUCAGUUUUGUCAAUACAUUCAAAACUUUUAAUUGAACACUUUCAUUUCUGAUUCAAACAUUUUCAUAUCAAAUUCAGUCAAAACAUUCAAAUCAUUUAUUUACUUUGGUCAUCAAACAUUAAAUGAUGUCCAAUUAGGUGAGACUUUUCAAAUAAGUGGCUAGCCUCAAAUUGUUCAUUUAAGGUGGACGAAACCAAACACUACUAGUACUAGUAACCUCUAACCAAACCCCUAGAGGUUGGGGUCCAAAUCAAUUACAUUCCCCACCAAGAAAUGUAAAUGUCAACUAUUAUAUUUCGUCGACAAGGGUCAAACAAACCAAAAUCAAACACUUAUUUCAAUUAUUCAAAUUUGCAAAACAUAAUAUCUCCAUAUUUCUCUGUUGUGAACAAAAUGUAAGGUUCUAACAUACUUUUCAUGCAAAACAUAUUUGAUUCAUGCAUAAAACGAAUAAUAACUCAAAGCGUUUCCAAAUGAUGUAUAUAAAAAUUUGUUUCUAAAAAAAAAAAAAAACCUGCAUUAAUUUCCCUUACCUCAAAAGAAGUCUUCAAAAACUUAGGAGAAAAAUAAUUCUUAAAAAUCUACUCCUCACCUAACAAAGUAUAAGAGAAAUAACCAUUAUUAUUUAUCUAAAAUUAUAGGUUUGACAAUCCUAAAAGGUAUUCAAAUUAAUGUUUUUAAUUAUAAAAGAUAAUUUAAUCUAUUCCUAUUUUAGAAAAAUUAAUAAAUUUCUAAUUCAUAUAAAACUUAAAUUUUAUUUUCAAUUUAUUUCUUAGGAUACAACAUAAUUUAAUUAAACUACAAUUUAUUCUACUAAUUAAAUUUUAUGCCACUUAUUAACUUACACUCAUCAUUAGUAUAAUAAUAUUGAUAACUUCUAUUCUCUUUCUUUCAAUUUUUUUUUUCCACUAAACAUAAAUUGUAACCCUAACAAUUCUCCAUUAUUGCUAACAUAAUAAUGUAAAGAUAUUUAUUAACCACCAAACACCAUCCGUACACAUCUUCCUUUAUUAUUAAUAUUACUAUUUUUUUUCUUUUAAAAAAAAUAAAAAAUUCCUCCAGUGCAAGUGUGUUCUUUUUUUUUCCCCUAAUGUUUUCUAAUCCCUUAACCCACAUAUAAUAAUAUAUUUAUUUACUCAUUUAUUUAUUUAUUUUUAAAAAAAUCAUUACUUAGAUCUAUUCAUCUAAAAAAUUUUGAAUUUCCCUUAUUUCAACAAUAGAACAAUCUAUAUUCCCAAUUUCAAUAUUUUGACCUAAAAGUUUUAAAUAGGUUAAGUCUAGCCUAAAUUGAAAUCUUUCAAAGAAAUUUUUUUUUUUUUCAAAAACUUAAGAUUUCCCAAUUUUUAAUAAUAAAACCACCAAUAAUCCUAAAUUUCUAAUAUUUUGAUAUUAAAACGAAUUAAAAAAAAAACUAACCCUAAUCUAAAUUAAAAAAAUAAAAUUCAAAGAAUAACUAACGUGUUUAGAACUAACUAUUGAAUAUAAUAUAUUAAUUUAAGAUUAGAAUCUUACCUAGAAAAAAAACCUGAAUUUCAACUUUAAAUCUCUAACCCUUGAGCCCUACGAACUCCAAUUCUCUACUUCUAGUUAAUAGGGUUUUCUGAACGAAGAAGAAAAGAGGAAAAAUCCAAUUUAUACCUAGGAUUUUUAAUUGUAAAAUGACUCUUUCACCCUCAAUGAAUUUAAUUAAUUAUUUAAUUACUUUAUAAAUUACUAGUUUGCCCCUAGAUUAAAUUUUGGGGUGUUACAGGUAAUCAAGUAAAAGUUAACGAGUUGGAUCGAAACAGGUUCUGACUUUCUGUAGCUGCAUUUAGAAAUGAAGGUUUUACAGGUAAAGAUGUUUCAGACACUUCUUCACCAAAACCCAUGUGUAAAAGGAACAGAUUGAACCGAAAGCUACUUCAUUAUGGUUUUGUGGAGAGUUGCUUUUCUUGAGAAGUUCUAUAUAGGCUUUCAGUUACUUGUGACCUAUUGUGCUUCAAAUCAAUCAAUUUGAUUUUCGUGCCAGAAUGAAAGCAUUGAUUAUACUAGAAGUUCAUGUUCAAGUUUAAAGUAAAGUAAAUAUGCGAAGACUGUUUUUUGUUAUCAAACCUAAUUCCCUUUUUUUUCCUCCAUUUUUUUUUUUCUCAGCUUCUGAGUUCAUGAAAUUACAGUUACAUGGAAUUUGGCCCACAGGAAAUCUCUUUUAGAAAAUCUUAUCCGGUUUACUUCACAAUUUUUUUUUUAAAUGUGAAAAUUAAGAACAAUUGCAUGCUGUUGAUCAAGACAUCCAUGUUUAGCAAUUCAUCCUCUCAUUGAAAUAAAUGUAAAUGUUCCAUUUAUUUAAAAGUUUGCGAAUCUUAAGUAGAUGGCAAACAGAUCAAUAAGGUCCAAUAACAGAACAAAUUAAUGGCUAGUAUAUACUGAAAGAGAACUCAAGGGUAUAAAAUAAAAACAAAAUGAUCCAAACUGCAAAGCAUCAUGGCCAUGGCAAGGUCCUUAUUGUUGAACUGGAUGUCUUUCUUUGAUGUUAAUAGUCGUUGUACCCCCAAAAGAUCUUCCUGUUCCUUCUGAUAUCAAUUAUUCAUUCUAUCUAUCCUAUAAUCUGCACGGAAAACAGAGGAAUGUUAAAUACUGUAUGAAUGAUGAAAAUGAGAAAUGUGGUCUGUAUUAUUAUAUAUACUUACAUGAAACUAGAAGAGGCAAUUCAUUUAGUAAUAUGGUGGAGGAGGUGAAGGAGAGGAAGGGGGUGGUGACUUGUGGUGGUAGACUGGUGGUUGGGAUGAUGGAGAAGGUAGUGGUGGGGACUUAUAGUAAUAAGGAGGUUGAGGAGAUGGUGAUGGAGGAGGAGGUAAUUUAUAGUCGUAGUGAGGAGGGGGUGAUGGUGAAGGUAGUGGUGGUGACUUGUAGUAAUACCACGGAGGAAGAGAUGGAGAGGGAGCCAGAGGUGACAUCGGUGGUAGUGAUUUAUAGUAAUAAGGAGGCAGUGAUGAUGGAAAAGGUGGGAGCGGUGGCAGUGAUGAUGGAAAAGGUGGGAGCGGUGGCCGUGAUUUAUAGUAAUAAGGAGGUAGUGAUGAUGGAAAAGGUGGGGAUGCAAAAGUAUUAGGAUUGUGAG
Molecule: long non-coding RNA, 13461 nt
Filed under: Vitis vinifera (wine grape)
Lineage: Eukaryota; Viridiplantae; Streptophyta; Magnoliopsida; Vitales; Vitaceae
Description: long non-coding RNA (VVIN_LNC001688)
Source: RNAcentral